AGUCAGGACCUGUUCUUCUUCUCUCCACGCCAUCACCACCAACUACCACCAUUGUUCUUCUUCUCCAUAAAAAAAAAAAGUUUACUAUUUUCAAUCACCCAAAAUCACAUGCAAAUUCUUGGCUAAACUCCUCACAACCCAAGGAUUAAGGCAAUUAAGGUAAUAGAAAAAUAAACUCUUCUUUCCUCACCAAUCUCUCUGCCUCUCGUACUCUCUCAUUUUCACAAACUCCAAUUUCAUUCUUUCCUCACCAAUCUCUCUGCCUCUCGUACUAUCUCAUUUUCACAAACUCCAAUUUCACUCUCAAUUCUUAGUUGCAUGUGCUGUUGUUCAUUCAAUCAUAAGGAUAUGGGCCAUUGGAAUUCUAAGGUAAGGGUAGUAAUUUCAGUUUCAUUCCUUUUCUCUAUGAACCCUAAGACCAAUAUAUGUCCCUACCCAUUGGAUUGAUUGUUUGUACAUGAUUUUAUGUUUUGGAACACUCAUGAGAGCUUGAGACCUGCAUUGAACAAGAAAAUAGGAAAGAAGAACAGAAAUUGGAAACAAGCAAAAAUUGGAAUGAGCCUAAGGAAAUUCUGUGUUUGGGAUAUGCCUGCAGUAAAACAGGUACUGAUGCUGUCAAAUUCUGGGUUUUGGAUUGUGAGUUUUAUGCGCUCGGAUGCUCGAGAGUGUACGGAUCAGUUCAGUGAUGCUGAAUAUCUCACAUAAACAGGUUGCUCAAGGCAUGGAGGCUGCGAGCUAAGUGGAGCAGGAGGCAUCCAGAGAUAUUAAUUAGAUGUUAUCUGUUUCAAUUUAUGUGUCAUAAUGGUUGUACAAUAUUUUAUAUGUAUUAACCUUUUCAGUCCUACCAAGUUAGGCUUGUCUGACGAAGAAUUACCUCGUAAUCCUACCAUGUUAGACAAAAGAAUUCUGUAAUUUUAAUGUAUCAUGAUUCAGUUAUGUAUACUCCUAUUGAUAUUCUAGAUAAAUUAAUAUGGGGUGUUAUAGAUUUCA
Molecule: long non-coding RNA, 990 nt
Organism: Trifolium pratense (red clover)
Lineage: Eukaryota; Viridiplantae; Streptophyta; Magnoliopsida; Fabales; Fabaceae
Exons: 3
Source: RefSeq, a predicted model, not a curated record